This 629-nucleotide long non-coding RNA is filed under the name Panax ginseng (ginseng). Its description in RNAcentral is "long non-coding RNA (PGIN_LNC019186)". Lineage: Eukaryota; Viridiplantae; Streptophyta; Magnoliopsida; Apiales; Araliaceae. The record is from RNAcentral.
CCGUCAGGCGUGUUCACUGGGAGUUCGGUCAUGCUGUAUGUGUGGUUUAUGUCACACUUACGACCGGUUGGUACCCUUAGACGGCAUGGGUAUUGCUUCUCCCAUGAUGUGGCUAUGUCAUACUCCUUUCAGCCAUCGGAGUGUAUAGAUGCUCUGUCCUGGGCCGCAUUUUUGGCAGAUAUCAGAGAUCCAUUUAGCAUAUUGCUGUGCUCGGGACUUUGCUCACCAUACAGCUUCAUUACUCAUGCUCAGGGCAUAGAUUUCCUCCCUCUGGCUGGCUUGAGGGGCGUGACUACUUAUCACCCAUUGGCCGUGAUGUCGCAGUUCGACUAGUUCCAGGAUUUUCAUCCUUUCGAGGGGGCGAUAGGUCAGCGUUCAGCUUCUCGAUAUCUCUCAGCAGAGGACCGAUCCCAUGUGUAUGCUUGUUGGGAUCAGCGUGAGAUAGCUUCUUUUUCUAUCAGUCAUCCCGGUUAUUCUGCAAAGUAUUCCGCAUAGAUGGAGACAGAGAUUUUAUCGGCUACAGCAGUAUCUGCAGAACCAGAUAUUGAGUCAGACGAUGCAGAGCCCAUGGAGGACAUUGAUACCUACAUCGAGGAGGAGCGCGCUGCUGGGUUGCCAGCAUUUCUUCC